Molecule: unclassified non-coding RNA, 204 nt
Filed under: fungal sp.
Lineage: Eukaryota; Fungi
Description: partial internal transcribed spacer region
Source: RNAcentral
AAGUCGUAACAACGUAGGUGAACCUGCGGAAGGAUCAUUAACAAGUAUCCAACGUUAAACCUCCCUGUGACUUGCUCUCGAAAUUUUGAUUCAGGGACCUCGAGCGUUGCAGUGGCACUAGAGGCCGACACUAUUCACACUACCUUUAAGCCGCCUCGUAGGGAUCAAAACGAACAACUGUUAACAAUGGAUAUCUUGGUUCUC